This 262-nucleotide ribosomal RNA is filed under the name uncultured archaeon. RNAcentral's name for it is "partial 16S ribosomal RNA". It matches the Rfam family "Archaeal small subunit ribosomal RNA", at positions 748 to 1009 of the family's 1478-position model. The record is from RNAcentral.
UAGCCGUAAACGAUACUCGCUAGGUGUCGGCCACGGUGCGACCGUUGUCGGUGCCGCAGGGAAGCCGUGAAGCGAGCCACCUGGGAAGUACGGCCGCAAGGCUGAAACUUAAAGGAAUUGGCGGGGGAGCACAACAACGGGUGGAGCUUGCGGUUUAAUUGGAUUCAACGCCGGGAAGCUCACCGGAUAAGACAGCGGAAUGAUUGCCGGGCUGAAGACCCUGCAUGACCAGCUGAGAGGUGGUGCCAUGGCGUAGUCGUGU